Non-coding RNA from Paramuricea clavata, 285 nucleotides. The record is from the annotation of a GenBank genome assembly. NCBI's taxonomy places the organism in Eukaryota, Metazoa, Cnidaria, Anthozoa, Malacalcyonacea, Plexauridae.
GUAAGAAUAUAUUUCUGAGAUAUGUCCAUUAUUAAUAACAUAAUAGGAAAUAAUCCUACCGAGUACCGGCCUACAUUUAUAUUUAUUAUACACUCACGCGCACUUAACCAAUCAGUAAUCGUUGAGAAGGUCACGUGCCGAUCCAAUAUUUUACGAUAUUGGACAGGAACCUAUUGGACAGUUGCGAAUCGUGGCUAUUUUCAUAGUUUUUUAAGCCUUUUCAGGAGUUUUGUCAAUUUCGAACAUACGACAAGCGAUAUGGCAGACUAAUGAAAAGAAUUUGGG